UGAAUGUAAGCUAAUGUUUAUAUUUUGGAAGAUGUAAGCUUUAUAUUAUGUUUAGAAGCUUAAUGUAUAAUCAAAUUGUAUUAUGAAGGCUGAAUGAAUGUAAUAGAUAGAUGUUCCUCUCUUUAUCAUUACUUGUAUGUUCUAUACUUGUAUCUUGCUCUUGGUCGUUUUGCACUGAUUGUGCUCUCGUUGUAGUUAUCGAUUGUGUAUGUAUUCAAGUUAUUUU
This 226-nucleotide long non-coding RNA is filed under the name Ananas comosus (pineapple). Its description in RNAcentral is "long non-coding RNA (ACOM_LNC003324)". The record is from RNAcentral. Lineage: Eukaryota; Viridiplantae; Streptophyta; Magnoliopsida; Poales; Bromeliaceae.